This 423-nucleotide ribosomal RNA is filed under the name Desertifilum sp. K4. RNAcentral describes it as "bacterial SSU rRNA". It matches the Rfam family "Bacterial small subunit ribosomal RNA", at positions 356 to 792 of the family's 1533-position model. The record is from RNAcentral. Lineage: Bacteria; Bacillati; Cyanobacteriota; Cyanophyceae; Desertifilales; Desertifilaceae.
GGGAAUUUUUCCGCAAUGGGCGAAAGCCUGACGGAGCAAGACCGCGUGGGGGAGGAAGGCCUUUGGGUUGUAAACCCCUUUUGUUAGGGAAGAAAAAAAUGACGGUACCUAACGAAUCAGCCUCGGCUAACUCCGUGCCAGCAGCCGCGGUAAUACGGAGGAGGCAAGCGUUAUCCGGAAUUAUUGGGCGUAAAGCGUCCGUAGGUGGCCGGGCAAGUCUGCUGUCAAAGACCACAGCUCAACUGUGGAAAGGCAGUGGAAACUGCAAGGCUAGAGUGCGGUAGGGGUAGAGGGAAUUCCCAGUGUAGCGGUGAAAUGCGUAGAGAUUGGGAAGAACACCGGUGGCGAAAGCGCUCUACUGGGCCGCAACUGACACUGAUGGACGAAAGCUAGGGGAGCGAAUGGGAUUAGAUACCCCCAGUA